Molecule: ribosomal RNA, 253 nt
Filed under: uncultured bacterium
Lineage: Bacteria
Description: partial 16S ribosomal RNA
Rfam family: Bacterial small subunit ribosomal RNA
Source: RNAcentral
UCCGAAGGGGGCUAGCGUUGUUCGGAAUCACUGGGCGUAAAGCGCACGUAGGCGGACUUUCAAGUCAGGGGUGAAAUCCCGGGGCUUAACCUCGGAACUGCCUUUGAUACUGUUGGUCUCGAGUCCGAUAGAGGUGGGUGGAAUUCCUAGUGUAGAGGUGAAAUUCGUAGAUAUUAGGAAGAACACCGGUGGCGAAGGCGGCCCACUGGAUCGGUACUGACGCUGAGGUGCGAAAGCGUGGGGAGAAAACAGG